RNAcentral lists this long non-coding RNA (776 nucleotides) under Nicotiana benthamiana. RNAcentral's name for it is "long non-coding RNA (NBEN_LNC015843)". The record is from RNAcentral. Lineage: Eukaryota; Viridiplantae; Streptophyta; Magnoliopsida; Solanales; Solanaceae.
ACAAAAAUUGAAAUUAUGAUUAAUAAAAUACUUGACCAACAUGCUGAAUUGAAUGGACUCCACUAGUCAUAUCCACAAAAAUUCAAGAAGUGGACUAAAACAUUCGACUGCUACCCUUUCAAUAUCAUCCUUAUAAAAAAGAUCAGACAAGAAGAGUAAUAAAACAUAGACUCAGAAACGGUAAAAACUAAAAUCAAUAUUGUCUUUGAUUGAAGCUAUCCGAUGUAUACAAGAGGCCACUAGAGUAGGGCCUAAAUUUAGUACAAAAUUUUGCUAAAAAUCCUUUUCUUUUUACAAUCUACUGCUCUGUACAAUCCACUACCAAGAAGGGGGAAGACAAAAGAAGAAAAAAGACUAUAGACAAAAACCCAUAUAACCCAAUUUUGUUGAAAGGGUAGUGUGGAGUUAAAUUAAUAUAAUUCAAUCAUGCCAACAAAGGAGCAUGACCACACAUCUCUUGAUUAUGUAAAGCCUGGCCUUUUGCUGCCUAAGGACUCCUCCGAGCCCUCUGCUUGAAAUUAGCUUCCUCUUUGAGCUUCCCAAAUUGCUGCUGCUCAUCUUCAUAUUUUACUUGAAGGCUGUCUGUAUAGGAAUUCUUUGUAUACAAAACGAGAGAACUUUGAUUCAGUUGUUGGUUUUGUGCAAAAAAUAUAUUGAAGAGACAAGUUUGAAUGGGGAAAGUGCAAGUCCAAGAAGAGUUACUUAUAGGCUGUUGAUAGAGUGUAUGGUCCGUCCUAACUUGUAUUGGUCGAGUCAACAACAAAUAUGGGUCCCAC